AGCCAGAGGAGAGUCUCAGCUCUGAGCUUUAAUUCUUAAACAUGUUUUGGUAAAAUGCUUUCCAGUCCUGUGGAGUAUUGCUCAACUUACUCACAACCAUAAGAUAUUGUUGACAGUUAUUUUCAUCCAUCAUUCCAAAUGAAGCCAAAAUGAAAUACAUUUUUCUUUUAUUAACGCAUUCAUCUGGGUUUCUUUUCUCCAGUCCCUACUGUGUCUCUUUUGUCUCAAUGAGCAGCAUGACAGGAUCCGUCAGCCUUUUGUUUGAUCCCAGGCAAGAAAUGAAUGCCUUAGAGGUUUGUCAGCAAUUGCAUUCUCAACCAACAGUGAGUGAACAGCAGUACAGAGAUCCCAAAGAGAAAUUCUCUACAUUGGAGGCUACUGCCUACUCCCUGGACAACUAGCUGCAGAAAUUCAACAACAACCAGGACAGUGAAGGCCACAAGAAGACUCAGGUCAACUCCAGAGCCCAGAUUCAAGGGCCACUAAAAGAGGUUGAAGAGCUGAAGGUGAAACUGAAGCAGCUUCAAGAACAUUUCUCUGAGACUGAAAAAAGAUCACCCAGUUAAAGGAAUAUUAUUGACUGCAAGAAAGAAUUUAUCAGAGCACUCUCCACCAGUCAACUGCCUGAUGAACAUUGUGGCAUUCUCCAAAUCCCAGCUCUAAAACCUGGAAAAGAAGGUGAAAUCUCAGAAGGUGGAAUGUCAGCAGCUCUCUACAAACCU
Tupaia belangeri chinensis (Chinese tree shrew) is the source of this 722-nucleotide long non-coding RNA. RefSeq lists it as uncharacterized. The transcript has 3 exons. The record is from RefSeq and is a predicted model, not a curated record. Lineage: Eukaryota; Metazoa; Chordata; Mammalia; Scandentia; Tupaiidae.